RNAcentral lists this ribosomal RNA (1070 nucleotides) under uncultured bacterium. RNAcentral describes it as "bacterial SSU rRNA". It matches the Rfam family "Bacterial small subunit ribosomal RNA", at positions 28 to 1070 of the family's 1533-position model. The record is from RNAcentral.
AACGAACGCUGACGGCGUGCUUAACACAUGCAAGUCGCACGAGAAUUUCCGCCUUCGGGUGGAAUAGUAAAGUGGCGCACGGGUGAGUAACGCGUGGAUAAUCUGCCUUCAAGUAGGGAAUAACAUUGCGAAAGCGAUGCUAAUACCGUAUAAGCUCACGAUUUGACUAGUUGUGGGAAAAGAUGGCCUAGUCUAUGCUAUCGCUUGAAGAUGAGUCCGCGUACCAUUAGCUAGUUGGUAGGGUAAUGGCCUACCAAGGCUACGAUGGUUAGCUGGCCUGAGAGGGCGGCCAGUCACACUGGAACUGAGACACGGUCCAGACUCCUACGGGAGGCAGCAGUGGGGAAUAUUGCGCAAUGGGGGAAACCCUGACGCAGCGACGCCGUGUGAGUGAUGAAGGUUUUCGGAUCGUAAAGCUCUGUCGGGUGGAAAGAAUAAAGGCUGUGUAAAUAAUGCAGUCUGAUGACGGUACCACCAAAGGAAGCACCGGCUAACUCCGUGCCAGCAGCCGCGGUAAUACGGAAGGGUGCAAGCGUUGUUCGGAAUUAUUGGGCGUAAAGGGCGUGUAGGCGGGUAUGCAGGUCAGGUGUGAAAUCCCUCGGCUCAACCGAGGAAGUGCAUCUGAAACCGCGUAUCUUGAGUACGAGAGAGGCAGGUGGAAUUCCCAGUGUAGAGGUGAAAUUCAUAGAUAUUGGGAAGAACACCGGUGGCGAAAGCGGUCUGCUGGCUCGAUACUGACGCUGAGACGCGAAAGCGUGGGGAGCAAACAGGAUUAGAUACCCUGGUAGUCCACGCCGUAAACGAUGUGCACUAGGUGUUGGGGGUAAUUAAACCCUCAGUGCCGCAGCUAACGCAUUAAGUGCACCGCCUGGGGAUUACGGUCGCAAGACUAAAACUCAAAGGAAUUGACGGGGGCCCGCACAAGCGGUGGAGCAUGUGGUUCAAUUCGACGCAACGCGAAGAACCUUACCUGGAUUUGACAUCCUUUGACAGCUCCGGAAACGGAGUCUUCCCUGCUUGCAGGGACAGAGUGACAGGUGCUGCAUGGCUGUCGUCAGCUCGUGUCGUGA